This 584-nucleotide ribosomal RNA is filed under the name uncultured bacterium. RNAcentral's name for it is "bacterial SSU rRNA". It matches the Rfam family "Bacterial small subunit ribosomal RNA", at positions 62 to 679 of the family's 1533-position model. The record is from RNAcentral.
UCGAACGAGAAGUGGAGCAAUCCACGAGUAAAGUGGCGCACGAGUGAGUAGCACGUGACUAACCUACCCUGGAGUGGGGGAUAACUGAGGGAAACCUUAGCUAAUACCGCAUAAUACCCACGGGUCAAAGGAGCAAUUCGCCUUGGGAGGGGGUCGCGGCCGAUUAGUUAGUUGGCGGGGUAAUGGCCCACCAAGACUGUGAUCGGUAUCCGGCCUGAGAGGGCGCACGGACACACUGGAACUGAAACACGGUCCAGACUCCUACGGGAGGCAGCAGUGGGGAAUUUUGCGCAAUGGGGGAAACCCUGACGCAGCAACGCCGCGUGGAGGAUGAAGUACUUCGGUACGUAAACUCCUUUCGAUCGGGACGAUUAUGACGGUACCGGAAGAAGAAGCCCCGGCUAACUUCGUGCCAGCAGCCGCGGUAAUACGAGGGGGGCAAGCGUUGUUCGGAAUUAUUGGGCGUAAAGGGUGCGUAGGCGGUUUGGUAAGUCUUGUGUGAAAUCUACAGGCUCAACUUGUAGACUGCACGAGAAACUGCCGGGCUUGAGUGUGGGAGAGGUGAGUGGAAUUUCCGGUGUAGC